CCCAUCUGUUGGUUUCUGCUGCCAAAACUAUAAUACACUCAUAACUCUUAUGUGUAAAAACACAUACCCAUAAACACAUGGGGAGCAGCUGAUACUGUGGUUACAGUAAUUGCCUUGCAACAGAAAAACCCUUCCAAGGACCCAGGUUGAAUCAAAUCCCACCUCCCUAUGUUAGUACCUUUGAAAGUACUUAACCUGAACUGAAUGAAUAGGAACAGUAGGAUAUGGGCAAUUUUAAACCCCACCCUCACUUUAAAAAAAAAAAAAAAAAAAAAAGUGUGUUGACAUUACUUUUUCAUCUCCUAAAUUGGGUACACUGGCUCGGCCUCGACUCAAACACGUGCCGCUGCGCGUGGGUCUCCAUGGUUUCCCGCGCUCCUCGGGGGCGGUCGGAGCGAGCAGCAGGGCGCGUGUACUCGGCGCGCGCUCUCACGAUUGGUACGCGGCUUCUUCACCUCGGCAAGUUACCACACUGAAAUACCACCAACCUUAAAACUGUAACUACAUGAUGAUGUUUCGGAUUAAACAUUGUUCAGUAAUUCGUGGGUAGAAAUUCACUUGAGCAAACGCGUAAAGUUCUUCAAUAAGUUCCACAUGAUCAUCAUGCACGUGACGACAUGAUUAAGUUCGUUACUCGUCAUCGUGUUACUUCUGCGUGGAAGUUCGAAGUACGUUACUCUAUAGCGCCACCUGCCGAAGCCAUUGUGAAUAACAGCCCUCCCAGCGACGGACCCCAGUCGCUCUGUCUGGAACUGUGUCCUUCAGCUGAGGAUGACUUCGCCCCACGGACAUUUGAGUUUCAGAGAAAUGUCUGCAAAAAGUCGGUGCUUCUCUUUAGUGGUCAGAUGAGUACUGAAAAAAAUCUGUUUUACGUGUAAGCUGGAAAGUUAAUGAAACACCAAAAUUUGCAACAUAAUGGUGACAUUGAAAUACUUGCGGGACAGAAUAGCAGCAUCUUUGCUGGUUGCAAUGAUUUUGCACAGUAAACUAAUCAGCCUGCUUCAAGCAGAACUAAUCUCCAAAGUAACUUUGAUGGCUCAUCCUACAAAUGUGCUGCUGGAGGAGGAUGCUCUGAACCUCACUUGUUUGGCUGCAGUGAGUGGAAACCACAUUCCGCAGCUGAACUACAGCAUCCUGAAGGACGAUCACAUUGCGGCAAGUGCCACACAGUCCCAGGCCUGCAGCCUUCUGAUAGCUAAUGUCGCCAAGGCUGACGCUGGACUAUACAGAUGCUCAGUGUCUGAACCCACUGGUCUCCUUAUGCAAAGUGAGAUUGUGGCAGUCACUGUGGAAGAUUUGUUCCAGGAAGUGGUCCUGAUGCUGAUGUACAGACAGGCAUUAGUCAUGGAAAAAGAACCUCAGACGCUCACUUGUGUGGUCACUGUCAACCCCCUGAGGAAGGAUAAAUCCGACGUGACGUACACAUUUCUGAAGCAGCAGCAGCCCAUAGUAGAGGGAAGUCGCUCUCCUGUUUUUCGUAUAGUCAGCACUGAGAGAAGCGAUGCUGGUCAAUACACCUGCGCUGCGCAGUUUGGGAGUGUCGUCAGAUACAGUCGAGAGGUCACUCUUCGGUUAUAUGACAAUGUUCCGAAAGCCUCGCUGACCGUGGAGCCUCCUGGAGGUGCAGUAUAUACAGGAGACACAAUUGUCCUCAAGUGUGAGCUGGAUCAGUUUGUUGGCUGGAGAUACUACUGGUACAAGGACAGAAAAGAUACGUACCCUGUGCACCAGAAUUGGGGGAGCAGAGGGGAUGGGGCCUCAUACAGAGUGUGGCGUGCAGCUCCCACACACACUGGCCUGUACUGGUGCAGAGCAGAUCUGUUCGCUAGCGUCACUCUGACCGCUUCUUCUGGAACGGUGGUGAAAGAGGGACGGGCUUUGAAUCUGACCUGUGAGGUUCAGCUGAGCGUAAGCCAGAAAGACGUGCCGCAGGAUAUGAGAACAGCUGGAAUGUUAUUCACUUUUCUGAAAGAUGGCGGGGUUGUGGCCAGAUCCUAUGGCUGGAGCACGUACAGUAUAUCCAGAAUGCUCAGCACCAAUGCUGGGGUAUAUGUGUGUAUUGCCAGCUCAGGAAGUGCCAGCAAACACAGCCAGGAGAUUGUCAUUUCAUUAGACAACUCCACAGUGAUGCUGGCUGCAGGUGUUGGCACGGUCCUCACUGUGCUAGUUGCACCAUUUGCUUUUUUAGUGAAAAGCCUGUGGUCCAGAGUCAUGCAACACCGUGCCACCAGGCAGGAAUCUGAGCAAACUUCAGGACACGGGUCUGGACGUAUGAACGAAAAGCUGCGUUGUGAAGCUCUGUAG
This 2304-nucleotide long non-coding RNA is filed under the name Scleropages formosus (Asian bonytongue). RNAcentral's name for it is "lncRNA (ENSSFOG00015025461.1)". The record is from RNAcentral. Lineage: Eukaryota; Metazoa; Chordata; Actinopteri; Osteoglossiformes; Osteoglossidae.